GGCCCAGGUCUUGCUAAUACCUCUGUGCAGGUAGCCAACGGCGGUUGCCCCCUUACAUACGACAAAGACGUCGC
Pseudomonas sp. StFLB209 is the source of this 74-nucleotide regulatory RNA element. It matches the Rfam family "narK RNA". The record is from Rfam. Lineage: Bacteria; Pseudomonadati; Pseudomonadota; Gammaproteobacteria; Pseudomonadales; Pseudomonadaceae.